This 5201-nucleotide long non-coding RNA is filed under the name Triticum aestivum (bread wheat). RNAcentral's name for it is "long non-coding RNA (TAES_LNC028437)". Lineage: Eukaryota; Viridiplantae; Streptophyta; Magnoliopsida; Poales; Poaceae. The record is from RNAcentral.
CUAACGUCCUCGAAUUCACCUUGGCUGAGCUCAUGAGGAGGCCACACUUCAUGGGAAAGCUACAAGAUGAAGUGAGGAGUAUCGUACCCGGGGACAAGAAAUUGUGAGCGAAACUGAAUUGAACAACAUGGUGUACCUGAGAGCAGUAAUAAAAGAGUCUCUCAGGCUGUAUCCUAUUGCACCUCUCCUUGCUCCGCACCUUGCAUGGCUGACUGUACCAUCGACGGAUACAUGGUUCCUGCAGGGACGCGUGUCGUCGUCAAUGCAUGGGCCAUUGGGAGGGAUUCCAGCUCCUGGGAGGAUGCUGAAGAGUUCAUACCUGAAAGAUUUACAGAUGAAGGCAAUGCUAGGAAUGCCAACUUUAAGGGGAACGAUUUUCAGUUCUUACCAUUCGGGGCAGGACGAAGGAUAUGCCCUGGUAUAAACCUCGGAAUCGCCAAUGUUGAGCUUAUGUUGGCAAACAUCAUGAACCAUUUUGAGUGGGAACUUCCGAUUGGGGUUGAGAGAAAAGAUAUCGAUAUGACAGAGGUGUUUGGGAUAAGCAUUCGUAGGAAGGAGAAACUAUUGUUGAUUCCAAAGUCACACAUGUAAAAUCGAGCUAAGCUAAAUACUUUGUGUUAUCAGUAUAACGGUUUUCUUGGGAAGAAGGUGAUACCAGGGAAAAUGGUGCCAAUAAAUAAUGGCCAAUUCUUCCUUGUAUAGCUACAAACAUUGUUGUUUAGAACGUUGAAAAUCGUCAAUGCACAUGUUUGACCACUACUUUUAUCAUUACAUAAAUAUGAAAUAAAAGAGAAAAAACGUAAUGUCGAAGUACUUUUAAAGUAAACUAGCAUGGUUGCCAGCACAAAUGCACGUGAACAUGCUAGUCGUCUAUUACUUUUGUGAUUCACAUUUCUUAUUGUUAUCUUAUACAAUAUAACAUCCAUUGGGACAAUAUGAACUGAAAACUCACAUGCUUAGUAGACCGUAAAACUCAUAUCUGUAAGUUCUGCCACAAGAACUAUAAAUCAUAUCAAUACCAGGGACAACGAAUCUCUAAACUUGUAAACAGCUCUGGAAAAAAAUUCAGCACAUAUAUCGUACACGCGUCUACCAUGACACAUAUUUUCAGAUUUAAAGUUGAUUCACGGCUCGGGAAACAACGAAACCUAGAAGGAGCCCGCCGCGGAUGUGGGUGCCGCCAUCACGGCUUUGACUUGGCCAACUGGCGGGUAUAAUCGGUUACAUGAAUUAGGGCAUUUCCAACCGAUCCCUUAUAACCGGUUAAAAAAGUAAAAAUGUGAUUUUACUCCUCUAACUGGCACCUAGCCGAUCCCCAACCUGCCAUAGGGGAGUAUAAUUUUUAUUCCGUCUCUAAAUUUCUCCAUAUAUUUACUCUGUCUUGAGGUGGCCCAGUAUAGUUUCUCUUCAGGCAAAGACCUCCUCGUGUCGGCUGGCGACUCGCAUGAAGCUCUCAUGGCCUCGCUGGCGACCCCUACCCAUACUACUACUGGUACGGUCGCUAAAUGCUCCUACUGCUGCCCGCCGCCGCCGGUGUAUGUUGUUGCUGCUGCUGCUCGUUGCCGUUGGUGUGUGCUCCUGCUGUUGCUACUCCUCCCUGAUGCAUGCUGCUCGCCGCUGCUCCUCCUUGUUGCGUGCUGCUACUACUGCUGCUUGUUGCUGCUCCACCGUCUGUGCGUGCUGCUACUGUGCGCUGCUGCUCCGCCGCCGGUGCGUGCUGCUGCUGCUUGCAGCCGCCGGUGCAUGCUGCUGCUCCUCCCAGUUGCGUGCCUCUGCUGCUGCUCGCCGCCAGCGUGGUAACCAUGGUUGCCACUUGCUGUGGAGGUGCAUAGCAAGUGUUUGACGAAAUGCAUGAGCCAAAUUUAAGUUUACUCCAUUAUAUAUAAGGGAUCGGCUCGGUCCGGCCGAAACUUAGUGGAGUAAAUGUACUCCACUAAGGUUUACUCCUCUAUUUUAAGGGAUUGGUAAGAAAUGUCCUUAAAUCAGUCAGAAAAUUGCUAAUUUAGCCAACAACCACCACUGCCUCUCUGUGUCUGCACGCAAGAUCUUGGACACCGUUGACAGUAUGAGGGCAUCAUCGGGCUAAGAUAUAGUGGAGGGGUGGGGGAGAAGGAAGGCUACAAUGAGCCCCGACGGCCGUAUGAGCAGAAGGAGGUACGCUCAUCAGGAUUUUUUUUGAAAGGAGGGAAGCCCCCGGCCUCUGCAUCAGUCGAUGCAUGCAGCCAGGUACGCUCGUUAGGAUGGCCAUCAGAAGUCGCCUCUCUAGACUCCUUUUGUUCUCUCUAUCUGUCCCAUUAUGCAAUGAUUGAAAACAAGAUCAUUUUUAACAAAAAAAAAAAUUAGAAACAUGACACAAAUCUUAGAGCAACAACCGAUGAUGUAUAUAUGGGUGGAUGGUGUACCCUGUUAUCCAUGUACGGUAGAAAAAUCACAGUCAUAGGAAAUGUAGCGCAUGAGUUAGCUACCUAGCUUGGAUAGAAUAUCUCCUCCUAAUACUUGGCUAUAUUCGGCCCGGUGGCUGUAAUUCCUAUGCUUGUAAAGGAUGCAACCAACCAUUCUGAUUAAAUGAACAAAGAAGGUUUGAAGUGUCAAAAAAAAAAGAAAAAACCGACGAUGAAUAUAUGUGUGGACGGUGUAUCUCUGUGUAUCCAUGUGCGGUAGAAAAAUCACUCCCGGACAAAAAUCGAGCCUAUCAAAACACACCGUGUUCCACUUGUCUUCCUCACAUGCAUGCACGGUCCUUCUACGGUGAGUGCCGUGGAUGGUCAAAACUUGGAGUGCCGUGGGGCCGCCUGAUUAAACGUGGACACUACUACAUCACGCGCCAGCGCCAAUAUUGCUCCAAGUUCAGUGCACCACAGAUAUUACGUGCUCACCGAAGCUGUCCUGCUUUUCCUGCGUGAGUGAAUUCCACGACUGGCUAGACGAGUGAGUGGCAGCGUACGUUAACAAACGUAUACUGAUUGAGUACGAAGCUAGAGCUUAUCCAUCUGGAAGACUAGACUUGCCUCGGAGUCUUGACACACCAGCACCAAUAUAUCGCUGCAGGUUCAUUGCACCAAAGAUAUUAGUACUAACUACUCCCUCCGUCCCAUAACGUAGGAUGUAUUACUUUGGUCAAUAAUAUAUAUUUUUGUGAUUUAAAAAUUAUACCAUUGAAAAGUUCAUCCGAAUAUUGAAUUCAAGACGUGGUUUUAGAUAGAGUAUGGUUAUUCUACACCCACGGACAUUGCACAUCCGACUAUGAGCAAACGUAUGCUGGUUGAGAACGAAGCUAGAGAUCAUCCAUCUGGAAGACUAGACAUGACUUGGGCACAGCAGUCACCAUCACCAAUAUCUCGCUGCAAGUUCAUUGCUCCAAACAUAUUCAUAAUAGUACUGCACAUGCUUUUGUCCUUUUUUACUUUGCCUGGCUGCUUAUAAGCAAACUGAGCUCGUCAUUUCUCCGGGGAGAGCUCCAGUCCAGAGUGAGUACUUACAGAGCCUGUCACUCCGGACGUCGGUUCGCCAUGGCGGAUCUCCUGCAGAAACUCUUGCCAGAGACCCUACCACCGGCAUGGUUGUUUCUCUUCCUCUUGUUCCUCGUCGUGUCUGUGCAGUACUGGUUCACCGGAAAGCUCGGCGCAAAAAGGAGGCAGCGCCUCCCGCCUUCGCCGCAGGCGCUGCCCAUCAUAGGGCACCUCCACCUCAUCGGUUCCCUCCCCCACGUCUCCCUCCGCAGCCUCGCAAGGAAGCACGGCCCCGACAUGAUGCUCCUCCGACUGGGCGCCGUGCCGACCCUCGUCGUGUCUUCGCCGCGCGCUGCAGAGGCGGUGCUGCGCACUCACGACCACGUCUUCGCUUCACGGCCCCACUCCGUCGUCUCCGACACCAUCAUGUAUGGCUCGGCUGACAUCGGCUUCGCGCCAUACGGUGAGUACUGGCGGCAAGCAAGGAAGCUCGUCACCACACACAUGCUGAGCGUUAAGAAGGUGCAGUCUUUCCGCGGCGUCGCUGUGGAGGAGGUACUGAUUUUUAAUUAUAUUUAAAUUUCUAGGUGCUGAUAGCCUUUCUUUUAAGAUCUUGCUCUCAUUUUUCUCGUACUGAAUUGGACUCUCACUUCCGUCAGAAACAAAAUAACGGAAAGGACUUUCAUGUGGUCCUCUGCUAACUAUUUCUCCCUCCGUCUGGGUUUAUUAGUUUCACUCAUAGUUUGUGUUUAACUUCUAAAAUAAAAUCAACUAAUAGUAAAAUAUAGACUUUAUGUAUAAAAAAUGAUACCACCUGAAACUACUUUUGAAUACGGAUCCAGCGGUAGUUGAAUCUAUAUAGGGUCCACCUUUGACCCAAAAUACCAGGGAAACUUAUAUAUUAACCUGGACCGAGAAAGUACUACAUAUGUAAAUGUUAGCUUCUCAUACUUUACGACCCAUGCUAUUAUAGGUCAGCAUGGCGAUGGCCAAGAUCAACCAGGCAGCAGCUGCUGAUGCUGUGGUGGACAUGAGCGAGCUGCUCCACACAUUCGCGAAUGACAUGGCGUGCCGCAUUGUGUCGGGGAAGUUCUUCCUGAAAGAUGGUCAAAGCAAGUUGUUUGGGGAACUCAUCAAGGAUACCUCACGGCUGCUAGGCGGGUUCAAUUUGGAGGAGUACUUUCCGGCAGUGGGUAGGGUAGGAGUGCUGAAGAAGGCGGUUUGUGCCAAGGCCGAAAGAGUGAGGAACAGAUGGGCCGAUCUGUUGGACAAGGUGAUCGACGAUCGUGUGAGCAAGCGCAAUUCAACGUCUGAUCACAAGGAUGAUGAUUUUGUGGAUAUUAUGUUGUCUGUCCAACAGGAGUAUGAUCUCACAAGAGAGCACAUGAAAGCUCUCCUGACCGUGAGUACAAAUAAUACCUUUCAAACUAAACAAGUUGAUUUGUACAUAUCUUUCAUUGUCCUAAUUACUUGAUAUACGCAGGAUGUAUUUUUUGGUUCAAUAGACACAUCAGCUAACACCCUCGAAUUCACCUUGGUUGAGCUCAUGAGGAAGCCACACCUGAUGGUGAAGCUACAAGACGAGGUGAGGGGUAUUGUACCCCAAGGACAAGAAAUUAUCAGUGAAACCAACAUGAACAACAUGACGUACCUAAGAGCAGUCAUAAAAGAGUCGCUCCGGCUACAUCCUCUUGCUCCUCUCCUUGCUCCGCACCUUGCCAUGGCUGACUGCAUCAUCGAUGGAUACAUAGU